CAAUAGCGUAUAUUAAAGUUGUUGCGGUUAAAAGCUCGUAGUUGGAUUUCUGUUGAGGACGACCGGUCCGCCCUCUGGGUGAGUAUCUGGCUCGGCCUUGGCAUCUUCUUGGAGAACGUAACUGCACUUGGCUGUGUGGUGCGGUAUCCAGGACUUUUACUUUGAGGAAAUUAGAGUGUUUCAAGCAGGCGUACGCCUUGAAUACAUUAGCAUGGAAUAAUGAGAUAGGACCUUGGUUCUAUUUUGUUUGGUUUCUUAGAGCUGAGGUAAUGAUUAAUAGGGAUAGUUGGGGGCGAUUCGUAUUUAAUUGUCAGAGGUGAAAUU
Molecule: ribosomal RNA, 324 nt
Filed under: uncultured eukaryote
Lineage: Eukaryota
Description: SSU rRNA
Rfam family: Eukaryotic small subunit ribosomal RNA
Source: RNAcentral